Molecule: long non-coding RNA, 497 nt
Filed under: Pan troglodytes (chimpanzee)
Lineage: Eukaryota; Metazoa; Chordata; Mammalia; Primates; Hominidae
Description: long non-coding RNA NONPTRT013242
Source: RNAcentral
GAAAAUCUUCCAGCUCUAGUCAAGCCUUCAGGUGAGCAAUGAGACUUAUGGAAACAAAUCUGCCUAAUGCCAUUUAGCUAGUAAACAUAAAGAGAAGUCCAGAACCUAGCCCUCUUUGACCUCUCUGCCCACACUCUCAGCUACUAGAGGAUGGAGACUGGCAGAAGAAAAGCAGAAGAUUCUGGAGUCCAGAACACCAGCUCUUAGUGCCAGGAACUGCCAGGUAAGAAUUCUGACUACACUGAGGCCACCAUGCUCUGAGGAAGUCAAGCCAGAUGGAAAGAUCACAGCAGGAGAACUGGUCAGCAGUCAUACUCUUGAACUCAUCCCAACCCAGACUCCAGACAUGUGAAUGGACAAGUCUUCAGAUGAUUCCAGCACAAAGCCAUUGAGUCACCUCCAGCCAUUGAGUGUCCCCAGCCGAGACACCAGUCACCAUCAAGCAGAGCCAGUAUGCCUGUUAUGCCUGUCCAAAUUCUUGACCCACUAAAUUCUAU